UUGACUUCAACUUUUAAUAUCUCUUUUAUGUCAACUUGCACCAAAAGUAUAGCCAAAAUCCUGAACUUGCUUGUCCUAGCCUCCAAAAGCUCAAAUGACUAAAAAAGCAAUCUUAAUCCCUAAUGUGGCCUUGGACAACCUUGUUGAAGCCCAUUGGAUAUGAUUUUUGGCCAAUAGAAAUAGAGAUUUUUAUCAUCUAUCUCCAUUCAUUUAUAUAGAUGCCUUAGUUUUUUUUUUGCUACCAAAAAUCUUCUUCAAUUCUUUCUCAUAUAAGAUUUAUAUAUUAUAUGUAUUUAACACCAAAUUAAAGAACCAAAAUAAAACUUUAAAGAUCACCAAUGUCUAAUAAAGAUGACUCUAAAUAUAUAAAGUUACUUCUAACAAAUCA
RNAcentral lists this long non-coding RNA (388 nucleotides) under Physcomitrium patens. RNAcentral describes it as "long non-coding RNA (PPAT_LNC012718)". Lineage: Eukaryota; Viridiplantae; Streptophyta; Bryopsida; Funariales; Funariaceae. The record is from RNAcentral.